AGCGAACGUUGGCGGCAGGCUUAACACAUGCAAGUCGAGCGGGCAUAGCAAUAUGUCAGCGGCAGACGGGUGAGUAACGCGUGGGAACGUACCUUUUGGUUCGGAACAACACAGGGAAACUUGUGCUGAUACCGGAUAAGCCCUUACGGGGAAAGAUUUAUCGCCGAAAGAUCGGCCCGCGUCUGAUUAGCUAGUUGGUGAGGUAAUGGCUCACCAAGGCGACGAUCAGUAGCUGGUCUGGGAGGAUGAUCAGCCACAUUGGGACUGAGACACGGCCCAAACUCCUACGGGAGGCAGCAGUGGGGAAUAUUGGACAAUGGGCGCAAGCCUGAUCCAGCCAUGCCGCGUGAGUGAUGAAGGCCCUAGGGUUGUAAAGCUCUUUUGUGCGGGAAGAUAAUGACGGUACCGCAAGAAUAAGCCCCGGCUAACUUCGUGCCAGCAGCCGCCGUAA
Molecule: ribosomal RNA, 451 nt
Filed under: uncultured bacterium
Lineage: Bacteria
Description: partial 16S ribosomal RNA
Rfam family: Bacterial small subunit ribosomal RNA
Source: RNAcentral